Molecule: long non-coding RNA, 7185 nt
Organism: Callithrix jacchus (white-tufted-ear marmoset)
Lineage: Eukaryota; Metazoa; Chordata; Mammalia; Primates; Cebidae
Source: RefSeq, a predicted model, not a curated record
UACAGCAAAAGAUUUCCAAAAAUCCUUAUGCAUGUGCAUUGCUGUCCUAGUCAGCACUGCCUUCUCCUUACCCUUUCAUGGGCUACAGUCUCUCUUUUGGCCUCCCCUAAAAGCUCUGGCAGGCCCUCUUUCGUGACCACUUCCCCCCUACUUCCUUUUGUAACUCUACACCUGGACCCCUGAAGUACCGGGUGAGUCUCCUUAGCGUCUUGAACACCACUAACAAUUCAGGACCAGGCUUCCACUGACGGUGAGGCGGGGAAGGGUGCUGAGUACUUUAUGCCGUAUUGUACUUUAUGCUUUUGUGACAUACUCUAUAAAACCCAAAGUUCGGUCUAAGUCGUCUUUGAUCUGCAUGACCUGUAAGUGUUAACAAUGGGGGGACCUGCACCUUAAUAACUUGGCGAAGGGUCCCCUGUGGGGUACACAGGGAUGAGAAUCUAGCCUCACUUACUGAUGGUGAACUGAAGAGUCAGAGGGGCCAAUUGACUUGCUCAACUCAAAGCGGGCAGAGCCUGGUCUUAAACUCAGUUCUUCUGGCUUCAAGUUGAAGGUCAUGUCCACUAACUCCAAGAAUAGGGACUGAGUCUCAGCUCUGACCUUUGGGUUGUGUUAGGAAUCACAGCUUCACAGGGAAUACAUAUAAAUUUAUUUCGUUGCACAAACUUCUGGCAUUUCUAGCAGUCACAGUGACUGAGAGAUAAGCGGGGCUUUUAGGACUCCAACUGGGUGACCCUCAUCUCCCUUGUGACACCUGAGCCUACCUAGGGGAACAUUCCCAUCCAGCUACCCCUGUCAGGGCGGCAUUGAAACCACUGGUUCCUCCAGGACCCAAAGCUGCUUUUCUGGAUGGAAUGUAAACCAUUCCUGCCUGGGGCCCUGCUGAGCCUUGGCAGGAUUCAGUGUGACAUUCAGUUCCAGAUUAAUCCGAGUUGGAACAGUUUUGUCGAAGGUGGAGAGACCUUUGAUUUAUUUAUCUUCUGAAACCCUGAAAUAGCUUUGAAAACACAGCUUUGGAUUUCUGCAAGUAAGAUGUAUGGGCUCAGUGAGUAUUGUUUUUAAAACAGAUAUCCAUACUCAUUAUAGUAACAAAGAUACCUUCCUAUAUUUCUUUAAAGUUUGUUUCUUUCUUUUAGGCUUUGUCCCAGCAAUGUGGUCUGUAAUUCAGGGUCUUGUAGAAGUUCACAGUGUGUGAGGAGUGACGUGUCCAGUCUGCAAUCUGAAUCUUCCCUAUGAAACUUCCACCCAGCGCCCUCCAGUGCUGACUCCCUCACCCACACUCCUGCCUUACAGGGCAGACCAUUUAAAGCACUACCUGUCUCAAUGUUCUGCAUCCAAUUGAGUCCAGAUAUGUAAACCCUGAGUAGAAGAAAUCUACUCCCUCUGGCAACUUUGGAGGGAGCACAAGUGAACUCUCCCGUUUUUGGAGGUGAUUAGUGAGGCCUGAGGGAGAGAUGUACUAGGAAUCAGGAGAUCUGGCUCUGAUCAGCUGUACAAACUGAGAAUUGUGACCUUGUCCAACCCAGGUGGCCAACUCUUAAUUCCGUGAAUGAAGUGUCUCUGUUACUUUGGAAUACUGAUUGAAGAGACAGGGUCUCACUCUGCUGCCUAGGCUAGCAUGCAGUGGUGUAAUCAUAGCACCUUGCAGCCUGAACCUCCUGGGAUCAAGCGAUCUUCCACCUUCAGCCUCCUGAGUAGUUGUCACAGCUCCUCCAAGAUUCCUCUACUGCAGAGCACAGCACCACCUUGCAGGAACUGCCCAGAGGACUGUGAGGUCCAAGAAGCAAGGGGCUGCAUCUUACUCUCCUAGGAGUCUGUAUGGCCCAGCGGUGCGCCUGGGCCAGGCCUCCCUUUCCCUGAGACACAACAGUGUUGAAAUAAGGACAAUUAAUAGUCCUUCAGUGACUUCUAAGUGUUCAAGUGAAAGGAAGGCUCCACAUCUCCCACUUUCAAUCAAAAGCGAGAAACAGGCCGGGCGUGGUGGCUCAAGCCUGUAAUCCCAGCACUUUGGGAGGCCGAGGCGGGUGAAUCACGAGGUCAAGAGAUCGAGACCAUCCUGGUCAACAUGGUGAAACCCCGUCUCUACUAAAAAUACAAAAAAAAAAAAAAAUUAGCUGGACAUGUGGCACGUGUCUGUAAUCCCAGCUACUCAGGAGGCUGAGGCAGGAGAAUUGCCUGAACCCAGGAAGUGGAGGUUGCAGUGAGCCAAGAUUGCGCCAUUGCACUCCAGCCUGGGUAACGAGCGAAACUCCGUCUCAAAAAAAAAAAAAAAAAAAAAAAAGCUAGAAACAAUGAACCUUAUUGAGGAAGGCAUGUCAAAAGUGAAGACAGGCUGAGAGCUAAGCUUUGUGCACCAAACAGCCAAGUUGUGAAUGCAAAAGAAACAUUCUCAAGAAAAUUAAUUUCUUAGAGAAAAUCAUCAUUCAUGCAUUCAGUGAACACAUGAAUGAUAAGGAAAUGAAACAGCCUUGUUGCUGAUACAAAGAAAGUUGAAGUGGUCUGAAUAGAAGAACAAAACAGUCAAAAGCCUAAUCCACAGCAAGGUUCUAACUCUUCAGUUCUAUGGAAGAUGAGAGAGUGAGAAAGUUGCAGAAGAAAAGUUGGAAGCUAGCAUAGGUUGGUUCAUGAGGUUAAAGGAGAGAUGCUGUCUCCAUAACAGAAAAGUACAAGGUGAAGCAGCAGGAGCUGAUGGAGAAGCUGCAGCACAUUAUCCAGAAGCUCUGACUAAGGUCAUUGAUGAAGGCGGUUACACUAAACAACAGAUUUUCAGUGUAGAUAAAACAGUCUUCUGUCAAAAGAAGAUAGCAUCUAGGACUUUCACAGGUAGAGAGAAGUCAAUGCCUAGCUUCAAAGCUUCAAAUGACAGGCUGACUGUCUUGUUAGGGGCUAAUGGAGCUGGCGACUUGAAGUUGAAAUCAACGCUCAUUUAUUAUUCCAAAAAAUCUUAGGGUCCUUCAGAAUUAUGCUAAAUCUCCUCUUUCUGGAAGAACAAAGCCUGGAUGAUGGCAUAUCUGUUUACAGCAUGGUUUAAUGAAUAUUUUAAACACACAAGUGAAGGCUAGUGCUCAGAAAAAAAAAGAUUCUUUUGAAAAUAUUACCGCUCAUUGCCAAGGCAUCUGGUCACCCAAGAGGGCUGAUGGAAAUGUACAAGAAGAUGAAUGUUUCAUGCCCUAACACACCAUCCAUUCUGCAGCCCAUGAAUCAAGGAGUAAUUUUGACUUUUAAGUCUUAUUAUUUAAGGGACAACUUUUGUAAGGCUAUUGGUGUUAUAGAGAGUUAUUCCUCUGAUGGAUUUGGGUAAAUUAAAAAUCUUCUGGAAAUAAUUUACCAUUCUAGAUGCCAUUAAGAACAUUCAUGAUUCAUGAGAGGCGGUCAAAAUAUCAACAUGAACAGGUGUUUGGAAGAAGUUGAUUCCAGCCCUUGGGGAUGACUGAGGGAUGGAGGCUUCAGUGGAGAAUGCACUACAGAUAUGGUGGAAACAGCAAAAGAACUAGAAUCAGAAGUGGAGCCUGAAGAUGCAACUGAAUUGCUGCGAUCUCAUGAUAAAACAUGAACAGAUGAGGAGUUGCUUCUUACAGGUGAGUGAAGAAAGUGGUAUCCUGAGAUGGGAUCUAUUUCAGGUGAAAGUGCUGUGAACAUUGUGAAAUGACAACAAAGAAUUAAUGAUAUUAUAAAUGUAUAUUACAAUAACGUAGUGGGAGAGCUUGAGAGGAUUGACUUCAGUUUUGAAAGAAGUUCUAAUGUGGGCAAAAUACUAUCAAACGGCAUCACAUGCUACAGAGAAAUCUUUCAUGAAAGAUCCAACGGAUGUGGCCAAGCCGCACUGUUGUUUUAUUUUAUGAAAUUGCCAUGGCCACCCCAAGCUUCAGCAACCACUGCCCUGAUCACUCAGGAGCCGUCAACAUCAAGGCAAGACCCUCCACCAGCAAAAAGACCACGAGUCUCUGAAGGCUGCGAUAAUCAUUGGUAUUUCUCAGCAAUGAAGUAUUUUUGAAUUAGGGUAUGUACAUUGCUUUUUUAGACAUAAUGCGAUUGUACACUUAAUGUAGUAUGACAUAACUUUGGUAUGCAGUGGGAAACACACUUGAUGGUGACUUUGCAGUAUUUGCAGACAGUAGUCUGUCACUGAGCCAGCAAUGUCUCCAAGGUAUGCCUGUAUGUAACUGGGGAUUUUUCAAUGGGAUAGGCCCAAUAAGGCAACUGCAUAUUCAUAAUCAAUUAAAUAUCUUCUCUUGUGUGGCUUCCUGUUUGUAUUAUAGAAAUCUCCUUCCUGCAUUCCUUUGAUGGAGCUCCCAAACCACUUCUUUUUUAGAGCGGCCUAAUUCUUGAAUCCCUAUUUUCUCACUCUUUAAAAUUUUUUUGUGCUUUGGUUUAUCUUUUUAACCCUGCAAUGUGUAGCAAAGGGUUCCUGGCACAUACUGAACGAAGAUAUUAGUGAUUCUUCUCUGAUGCUUUCCAAGUUCAGCCAAACCUUGAGGCUCUCCACUCACAUUUUCAAAUGCUAAAUGCUCCUGUGGUGGAGACAGCGGGGGUGCUGGGGUGUGGACACCCCUUGAGGUCUCUUUUUGUUUUUUCCCCUUCAGUCCAGUACCAGAACAUCCCUUCAUUGGCAACUGUCAAGUGGGCCUGCUGAAAACGAUCAAGGCAGUCCUCCCUAGCUCGGGGUCUCGCUUAAUGUUGAGAAGGUAGUGUGUGAGGGAUUUGGAAUCAGAAGCUCUGGAACAACUCCCAGUUUACUCUUAUAAUUACAUACAAAAAAAAAAAAUCAAAACCUCAGUUUAUUUGCGCAAAAAUGGUGGAGUGUUCUUGUCCUACAUGAGGAAUGCACUAAUCCCUCCAGCCAGCAUUCACUGGGGGCGCUGUGCUCCAGGCAGGCUGCCGGUGAGGACUGCAUGCAGGUCUUGCCUUCACACCCGGAGCAGGCUGGAGGGAGUGGUGUGAAAUCCCCCAAUCCCCAAGCUGGGGGCAAAGGCUGUGCUAAGGCAGUGGGACGUGGAGCUGGCCUGGCCUGACCUGAUGACUCAGAGUGGAAAGAUGCUUGCUGCACUGAAGUGUGAGGACCCCAGCAGGAGCGUAAAGGCAACAGCACCUGUGAACAGGAUUUGUAAGCUGCUCUUGGUGAUUUUUGGACAGACACUCUUACUUGCUUUAUUUUUCCCUUUUGACUUCUGCCCCCUUUCCCUAAUAAUAUUUCCAAAUGUGUGGUGCCCACCAGGAUCCUGGGCAGUGCAAUGGGAUGGCUGCUUGGUUUCUGCUGAUCCUCACAGAGCCAGUAACUUCUUCCUCCUGGGUCUGUGGAUCAAUGCCGUUUUCCUGGCCACUAGGCAGAGCGCAGGUCCCCUAAGGAGAGCAGGAGAACAGGGGUUGGAGCUCAUUAUUACAGGGUGCUUGUCUUGCCACCUGUCCCCAGAAUGCCUUAAGUGACAAUGACAUAGGCAUCUGACAACGCAUGUGGUCAUCUCUUUUCAUAAUUUUAAGAUACGAUGGCCCUUCUUUUUCCAACUCCUUUCCCCACUUAGACAGCCAGGAGACCAGAGAACUGCUGUGCUUGUCUUUUACUGAGCCUGACAGGCCUUGUGCCCCAGGGGCUUGGUGUGCCCGUGAAUAAACAGCGUUGGCCUUUGGCCUUCCCGCAGCCUCUCCUUGGGGCCUUUAGGGUUCCCACAGGCCCUCCCCUCCCCUCUGCGUUUUCCAGGAUCCAGCCAGCUGCCAGCACACGUCCGUCCUCCUCCGCACCCGAGGAUCCCCAGGCCCUGCGGUGUUAGCCUGGUGAGGAGUGGGGUUUGGGAUGUGAGCCACAGCUCCUUGUGGCCCCUCCUCCCCCGAAUUGUGAAACUUGAGGAGGCCCCUCAGCUGCUGGCACAGAGUCCAUCUGUGGGAACCUUCUCCAGUCUAUGGGGGAGGCAAGGGUCUCGCCUCAGGGACUUGGUUUAUUUAUCUAGCUGGACUCCAUCCGUUAAUAUCCAGCUUACAGAGGAAGAGGCUUUGCCAGCUAAAUGCAGCCCCAUCCCUUCCUGCAAAGACUGAGAGCAGAAAGAACAGAUAUUUACAGAGGCCUGAGCCCCCCUUGGUGUUGCCUGCAAGGCUGUCAAGCGGGUGGGGCUUCAGGAUCCUGGUCGGGAACCUGGAACCCAGUGCUGGAGACCCUCAAGGUUAGAGCACCUGACCCUCUUCUCAGCCACCUAAAGCCUGUGUUGGUCUCGCUGUGGAUCCCAAGCUCUAAUAUCCAUUCAUCCUCCCAAUCCAAAUUCCCUUUGCUGACAUAAACACCAUCAACAAUGUAGAGAAUGUGUUUCCUCAUCUUUGAAUAUUAACACCCAUCUGUUUAAUUGAGAUCCUUUUUACAUGCAUGGAAGAUGUGCUGCAAAGGAAACUGUGUUUCAUGUUGUAUAAGCCGUAUGUUCUGCAACUGCUGUCAGAUUUCUCAGUUGUUGAAUGGGAUGAGCAAUGGAGCUUCAGACAGAUGCCGUGACCUGCCUAGGCCGGUGGGUGGGGAGCUGGAAAUUCAUACAACCAUGUCUUGUUCACUUGCUUUGUGAAAGAAUCAUGUGAACAGUGACAAAGAGGCUGGGCAGCUGGGCCAGGCAGCAAGGAGAGUGCCUGAGCUGGGGAGCAAUGGCACUGUGCUCCUCUGUACCCUUGAUCUCCGAGGCCAAGCUGACACUAGCCCCUCACAACCCCUUGGGGCUGCUCCUCCUUAGGGAGCAGUUCCUUGGGUUUCCUGUUUGCCUCCUGCUGCUCUUGUGUUGAAGGGCCGCCUCUGGGCAGCUCCCCCAACCCCUGGCAGGAGAGCCAGGCCAUAUCAGGCACGUGGAGCAUGAGGGAGGUGCAGUUGUUUUCACAGGUGCAGAUUCUAGAGGACCCCACGUGGACUCCGUGGCUUCUGCCAUGACACACUCAUGGGAGGACACGGCUCUGCCCGGAAGGGAGAGUUCUGAGCUGGUCCCUGCUGCUCAUCUCUGUGACAUCACCAUGGGUCAGCCCUUCCCUCUCACACAUAUGUUCUGCAAGACCUGCGGUCAAAUAUUUGCUCAAACAUUUGUUGAAUGGGAUGAGCCUUGGAGGUCCAGACAGAUGCUGUAACCUGAGGUGUCAAAUGAGGGAUGUGUGUGAUGGUCUUCUCCAUUUAUACCGUUUUAAGUGCGCUAAGCACUACUUAAAAUAAAAAAGCCAACACUUGUCUUU